This 446-nucleotide ribosomal RNA is filed under the name uncultured bacterium. RNAcentral describes it as "partial 16S ribosomal RNA". It matches the Rfam family "Bacterial small subunit ribosomal RNA", at positions 338 to 795 of the family's 1533-position model. The record is from RNAcentral.
CCUACGGGUGGCAGCAGUCGAGAAUCAUUCACAAUGGGGGAAACCCUGAUGGUGCGACGCCGCGUGGGGGAAUGAAGGUCUUCGGAUUGUAAACCCCUGUCAUGUGGGAGCAAAUUAUAAAGAUAGUACCACAAGAGGAAGAGACGGCUAACUCUGUGCCAGCAGCCGCGGUAAUACAGAGGUCUCAAGCGUUGUUCGGAACCACUGGGCGUAAGGCGUGCGUAGGCGGUUUCGUAAGUCGUGUGUGAAUGGCGCGGGCUCAACCCGCGGACGGCACAUGAUACUGCGAGACUAGAGUAAUGGAGGGGGAACCGGAAUUCUCGGUGUAGCAGUGAAAUGCGUAGAUAUCGAGAGGAACACUCGUGGCGAAGGCGGGUUCCUGGACAUUAACUGACGCUGAGGCACGAAGGCCAGGGGAGCGAAAGGGAUUAGAUACCCCUGUAGUC